AGAAAGAAUGGCAGCGAAAAUGGCGAGGAACAUGCUUAGAAAAGUAUUUUGUUGCCUCCCACUUUUUAGAAAAAAACGACUUGUGAAAGAUAAAGAAGUUGUUAUUCUGGUUCAACCAGAAGAACAACAGCAUCAACCCACUGAAACCAUCUGCGAGGUAAGCAAAACGGAGAAGCUGCAAAUAUCUCUUUCCUCUUCUGUCUUCUUUCCU
Molecule: long non-coding RNA, 211 nt
Organism: Xenopus tropicalis (tropical clawed frog)
Lineage: Eukaryota; Metazoa; Chordata; Amphibia; Anura; Pipidae
Exons: 3
Source: RefSeq, a predicted model, not a curated record